Molecule: long non-coding RNA, 4125 nt
Organism: Cavia porcellus (domestic guinea pig)
Lineage: Eukaryota; Metazoa; Chordata; Mammalia; Rodentia; Caviidae
Exons: 2
Source: RefSeq, a predicted model, not a curated record
GGAGCCGAGUGACAGGCAUUGCUGCCUAGAUGUCUCUCUCUCUCCUAUGGGCACUGCGUCUGCCUACAUUAACCAUAAUCCUCUUCUGCUUACGUCACUUAUCCGGAUGUGAUGGUAACCCUGUUGUAUUCAUCUGUUUAACCUCUUCCUGUCCCAGCUCCCGCCCUUAGCCUAUAAAAGGAGUUCCGAACUUGUUGAUCUGCAGGCCGGAUCAAGUGGCGCUCAGCGUGGGAGCCCCUGGCACGGAGAAGUUAACGAGGGAGCCGUUCGAGAGACAGCCGGCUUAAACCGAAAGUGAAAGCAAAUUGAACCAGAGACCUCGGCAGAGGAAUGAGUAAACUGAAUCAAGGAUUAAAGUUUAAAGCAACAGGACAUUAAAUCAAGUGCCGAGACCUGCGCAGACGACUACCCGACGUCCUGCCCGAGUCACGGUGAGUGAACGGCAACCCCAUUUCCCUUUCCCGACAUGGGUCAAGUAUUGAGCGAACAUGAACUGUUCGUCGGAGGCCUUAUAAAGGCAUUAAAGACAAGAGAGAUAAGGGUUGAAAAACAAGAAUUAUUACAGUAUUUUCAGUUUAUUCAUAAGGUUUGCCCUUGGUUCCCCCUAGAGGGUUCUAUAGAUACCAAGAGGUGGAAUACAGUAAGAGAUGUUUUAAAAGAUUAUUAUAGAGUUUUCGGUCCAGAAAAGGUUCCUGUGACCACCUUUACAUAUUGGAAUUUAAUUUCUGAGCUGCUUGCCCAGAAGCAUGCAGACCCUCAGGUUGAGGAGACAGUUGCACUAGGUGAGGCUGCCUUGCGCGACUUCCUUAAAUCUACCUCAAAACCGUUCUCAGAAAAAUCUGAAGCCACUAAUUUCUCAGAUGCAGAGAAUGAUGGCCUGUUAGAGGUCCUCAUACAUGGUGAUCUGCCACCACUUCCACCUGUUGACACGAUCAGCAGGUCCCAGGAUGGCAGCCCGCCACUCCCUGUGCCUCCAUGGCAAAUUGGGGAUUCAUAUAAGCCUUUAAAAACAACCUUAACUCUGAAAAGCUUGCAGCCGCAAGGCAGCUGGUACAGGACCAGUUAGAUGCAGGCCACAUUGUUCCUAGUAAUUCCCCUUGGAACACACCUAUCUUUGUUAUCCGGAAAAGGUCAGGAAAGUGGAGGCUGCUACAAGACCUUAGGGUGAUAAAUAAGACAAUGGUCUUAAUGGGGCCUCUACAGCCUGGCCUCCCCUCACUCAGUGCCAUUCCUUUAGGAUUUUUUAAAAAUUGUCAUAGAUCUUAAAGAUUGCUUUUUCUCUAUUCCUUUACACUUCAUGACUUCCAAAAACUAUUGGGAGAUAUUAAUUGGCUCAUACCAUUUUUAAAACUAACUAAACAUGAUUUACAACCCCUUUAUGCACUGCUUCGGGGAGACAUAGAUCCAACUUCCCCCCGAGAGCUUACACCUGAUGCCAGGAGAGCGCUCAGUAAAGUAGAAGAGGCUAUUGCUCAACAAACUGUUUCCUUUAUGGACUACAAUGAGCCUUUACAGUUUCUCAUUUUUAAUACAAAGCUUUGCCCUACAGCAGUGUUCUGGCAACAAGCUCCCCUCAUGUGGGUCCAUUUACCAGUCUCUCCAAAAAGAACACUUUUGCCUUAUUUCCAAGCUGUCUCAGACCUAAUAAUCCAGGGUAGAAAGCAGGGAAAAUGUUACUUUGGCAAAGAACCAGACAUUAUCAUUCAACCUUUUACAAAAGACCAAAUAGAUUGGUUACUUCAGAGUACUGAAGUGUGGCCUAUUGCCUUAGCUUCCUAUUCAGGGACUAUUGACAAUCAUUACCCUCCAAAUAAGCUAGUUGACUUUGCUAAUCGUCACUCAUUUAUAUUCCCUAAAGUCACAGCUUCACAACCCCUUCCGGGUGCCCUGGUUUUAUUCACUGAUGGCUCAUCCUCUGGAAGAGCUGCUUAUGUAUCUCAAAACAAUGUUUCUACCCUCCAGGCAGAUACUUCCUCUGCACAAUUAGCAGAGUUAGAAGCUAUUCUUGCAGCUUUUGCUGCUUACUCUGACCAACCAUUUAAUUUGUAUACUGACAGUGCUUACCUUGCUCAGUCUGUUCCAUUAUUGUUGCUACUAUAUGUCAUGCUUCCCCAGCUGCAAAUCUGUUCAAACAAUUACAAUGCUUCAUAUGGCUUCGCCGUCAUAAGUUCUUUAUCGGUCAUCUGCGAGCUCAUUCCAACCUCCCAGGGCCUCUUGCCCAAGGAAAUCAUUUGGCUGAUGUUGCUGUACGAGCACAGGUUUUUAUGGCUCAGGACUCCAAGGUGUCUGAGGCCCAACAAGCCCACCAGCUACAUCACCUCAAUGCUCACACCCUCCGCCUUCUCUACAAAAUUACCCGUGAGCAAGCCAGACAAAUUGUAAAAAAUUGCCCAUCUUGUGCUAUCCACUCACCUGUUCAACACCUAGGAGUCAACCCUAGAGGUUUAAUUCCUAAUGCCUUAUGGCAAAUGGAUGUUACCCAUUUCAAUGAGUUUGGCAAUCUAAAAUAUGUACAUGUCAUCAUUGACACUUAUAGUGGCUUCAUUUUUGCCACUCUCCAGACUGGAAAUGCUGCUAAACACAUUAUAGCCCAUAUGCUGUCAGCCUUCUCAGUUCUGGGAUGUCCUCAACAGCUUAAGACCGAUAAUGGCCCUGGCUAUACCAGUACCUCCUUUGCUCAAUUUUGUAAAAGCCUUAAUAUCCUCCACACUACAGGUAUACCUUACAAUCCUCAGGGACAAGGCAUUGUUGAACGUGUGCAUCGUUCUCUUAAAUUCACCAUUGAUAAAAUAAAAAGGGAGACAUGGUACCCCACCCAGGGGUCCCCUAGAAAUGUCCUUUCACAUGCUCUUUUUAUUUUAAAUUUUCUGACCCUGGAUGCUUCAGGCUGCUCCGCAGCAUCUCGGUUUUGGCAUACUCAGACUCAAACACGGUUUGCAUCUGUUUUAUGGAGAGACCCACUAACCAAUGUGUGGAAUGGCCCUGAUCCAGUCCUUAUCUGGGGACGAGGUUCAGUGUGUGUUUACUCUCAACAAGAUAGAGAAGCUAGAUGGCUACCUGAACGCCUCGUAAAGCAAGUAGACAGUUCUUCAAAGACCCCGUAUAACGCCCAGGAAUAAUGUUAUUUCCUGAGGCACAAUCCCCUGUGUUCUCUUACAGGUGACACAUCUCCUUGGAGCCUUAUGCUGCUUAACCAGCCUUCUUGAGCCACACCACACCCAUGGUGGAUUUUGACCCCUGCCAAACAGACUGCAACUGCUGACAGCCAUGCACAGAACCCCAUGACUGCGGAAGAGGCUCUUCUCGGUCUGGAGGAACGCCAGCCAAAUAGACUGCAUCCAGUGUUAUACAAGGCAUGCUCCAAGACACAGGAGAAUGACUUCAUACAGAGACACCAACAAAUGACUGUCAACCCCUUCUCCUUGAUUUUGGGGGGGGGGAGUUUUUCCCUUACCUAGUCCCACUUUUGGGUCCCCUAGCUGACCUAUUGUUUCUCAUUUCUGUGAGUCUUGUAUUUUUCAGAGGAUUAUGAUGUUCAUUAAUAACCGGAUAGACGCAUUUAUGGCAAAGCCCAUUCAGGUACACUACCAUCAGCUGGAGAUGACAGAUCAACAAACCUACAGGGAAGGAAUUCCCACGAGUGGCCCAUAUGAUGAUGCGGCCUGACUGCCCUGGGGCAAUGGACAGGCAGUCAGAGACGGGCAACUAGGACAUGCAUGUUAAUUCCAACAGCCACCUAAGACAGGCACAGGACCAACUGCUGUUCUGCAAGCCCAUGACGGGUAAGGCCUGGUUGGGUUCAUGCAAUGAGGUCCUUGACCUAAGACAGACGCUGUCCUCACAGGGCCUGCCAUACUCUUAAUUAAAUAAUAUAAAAAGGGAGGAGAUGUAGGGAGCCGAGUGACAGGCAUUGCUGCCUAGAUGUCUCUCUCUCUCUCUCCUAUGGGCACUACGUCUGCCUACAUUAACCAUAAUCCUCUUCUGCUUACGUCACUUAUCCGGAUGUGAUGGUAACCCUGUUGUAUUCAUCUGUUUAACCUCUUCCUGUCCCAGCUCCCGCCCUUAGCCUAUAAAAGGUGUGAUUAUUUUCUCAAUAAACCGGAGGCUUGAUUGGGUUAACAUCAA